This 467-nucleotide ribosomal RNA is filed under the name uncultured bacterium. RNAcentral describes it as "partial 16S ribosomal RNA". It matches the Rfam family "Bacterial small subunit ribosomal RNA", at positions 28 to 523 of the family's 1533-position model. The record is from RNAcentral.
GAUGAACGCUGGCGGCGUGCCUAACACAUGCAAGUCGAGCGAUUCUCUUCGGAGAAGAGCGGCGGACGGGUGAGUAACGCGUGGGUAACCUGCCCUGUACACACGGAUAACAUACCGAAAGGUAUGCUAAUACGAGAUAAUAUACUUUUAUCGCAUGGUAGAAGUAUCAAAGCUUUUGCGGUACAGGAUGGACCCGCGUCUGAUUAGCUAGUUGGUAAGGUAACGGCUUACCAAGGCGACGAUCAGUAGCCGACCUGAGAGGGUGAUCGGCCACAUUGGAACUGAGACACGGUCCAAACUCCUACGGGAGGCAGCAGUGGGAAUAUUGCACAAUGGGCGAAAGCCUGAUGCAGCAACGCCGCGUGAGCGAUGAAGGCCUUCGGGUCGUAAAGCUCUGUCCUCAAGGAAGAUAAUGACGGUACCAUAGGAGGAAGCCCCGGCUAACUACGUGCCAGCCGCCGCAGUAA